UCCGCGUUAUCCUUGGCAGUCUCGCUAGAGUCCCCAACUGAAUGAUGGUAACUAGCGAUAGGGGUUGCGCUCGUUGCCGGACUUAACCGAACACCUCACAGCACGAGCUGACGACAGCCAUGCAGCACCUGUCAUCUGGCUUCCUCGUGAGAGGACACCCCAGCAUUUCCGCCGGGUUCCAGAGAUGUCAAGCCUGGGUAAGGUUCUGCGCGUUGCUUCGAAUUAAGCAACACGCUCCGCUGCUUGUGCGGGCCCCCGUCAAUUCCUUUGAGUUUUAGCCUUGCGGCCGUACUCCCCAGGCGGGGUGCUUAAUGCGUUAGCUGCGGCACGGGAGGAGUCGACACCUCCCACACCUAGCACCCAUCGUUUACGGCGUGGACUAC
This 383-nucleotide unclassified non-coding RNA is filed under the name uncultured Pseudobdellovibrionaceae bacterium. RNAcentral's name for it is "uncultured Bdellovibrionaceae bacterium contains 16S-23S intergenic spacer region". Lineage: Bacteria; Pseudomonadati; Bdellovibrionota; Bdellovibrionia; Bdellovibrionales; Pseudobdellovibrionaceae. The record is from RNAcentral.